AUACGGAGGAUCCGAGCGUUAUCCGGAUUUAUUGGGUUUAAAGGGUGCGCAGGCGGCCAUUUAAGUCAGCGGUUAAAUCGUGGGGCUCAACCCCAUUCUGCCGUUGAUACUGGGUGGCUUGAUUGCGGUCGAGGUUGGCGGAAUUCGUUGUGUAGCGGUGAAAUGCAUAGAUAUGACGAAGAACACCGAUUGUGUAGGCAGCUGACCAGACCGCAAAUGACGCUCAUGCACGAAAGUGCGGGGAUCGAACAGGAUUAGAUACCCUGGUAGUCCGCACAGUAAACGAUGAAUACUUGUUUUCGGCGAUAUAAUGUCGGAGGCAAAGCGAAAGCGAUAAGUAUUCCACCUGGGGAGUACGCCGGCAACGGUGAAACUCAAAUGAAUUGACGGGG
This 392-nucleotide ribosomal RNA is filed under the name uncultured bacterium. RNAcentral describes it as "partial 16S ribosomal RNA". It matches the Rfam family "Bacterial small subunit ribosomal RNA", at positions 523 to 918 of the family's 1533-position model. The record is from RNAcentral.